UUAUUUGAAACAGGAUACAACCUCUAACACUGGGUAAAUUACAGUAACCCAAACAAAGUAGGCCUAAAAGCAGCCACCUUUCAAAAAGCGUCAUAGCUUUACCUCCCUUACACCCAAUUAAUAAAAUCUCCAUUAACCCUUCACCAGUACUGAACUAUUUUAUAUCUUUAUAAAAAUAAUUAUGCUAGAACUAGUAACAAGAAUAUUGUCCUUCUCCUAAUGCAAGUAUAAAUCAAAAUGACACCCAAUGAUAAUUAACGUAGAUACAUAAAGUAUAGUAACAAAUACCAAGAAAAUUCUAUAAUUUCAAACGUCAACCUUACACCAGAGCAUUACAGGAAAGAUUAAAAGAGAAAGAAGGAACUCGGCAAACUUCAGCCCCGCCUGUUUACCAAAAACAUCGCCUCUUGAUUUCCAUAAGAGGUCCAGCCUGCCCAGUGACAAAGUUCAACGGCCGCGGUAACCUAACCGUGCAAAGGUAGCAUAAUCACUUGUUCUCUAAAUAGGGACUCGUAUCAAUGGCAUCACGAGGGCUUCACUGUCUCCUUUCUCUAAUCAGUGAAACUGAUCUCCCCGUGAAGAAGCGGGGAUUCUUCU
RNAcentral lists this ribosomal RNA (597 nucleotides) under Sylvirana mortenseni. RNAcentral's name for it is "partial 16S ribosomal RNA". The stretch from base 342 to 589 matches the Rfam family "Archaeal large subunit ribosomal RNA", at positions 1787 to 2143 of the family's 2987-position model. The record is from RNAcentral. Lineage: Eukaryota; Metazoa; Chordata; Amphibia; Anura; Ranidae.